This is a small nuclear RNA of Rattus rattus (black rat), 109 nucleotides long. NCBI's taxonomy places the organism in Eukaryota, Metazoa, Chordata, Mammalia, Rodentia, Muridae. The record is from RefSeq and is a predicted model, not a curated record.
CUGCUCGCUUUGGCAGCACAUAUACUAAAAAAUCAGAACAAUAAAGAGAAGAUUAGCAUGGCCCCUGUGCAAGGAUGACAGGCAAAUUUGUGAAGUCUUCCAUAAAAAU